Colius striatus (speckled mousebird) is the source of this 6943-nucleotide RNA transcript. It is a transcript of the gene named La ribonucleoprotein 1B, with no coding region annotated. The transcript has 21 exons. Lineage: Eukaryota; Metazoa; Chordata; Aves; Coliiformes; Coliidae. The record is from RefSeq and is a predicted model, not a curated record.
CCUUCCUACGGCGGCCGCCGCCCGCGCACCCCGCUCCACGCGGGCACGGCCGGGCCGGUUGAGCCGCAGCGGGGCCGGGAGGCGGCGGUGGGUCGCGUCGUCUCGCUCCCUCUCGCUCCUCCCCUGACCCUUCGCGGUACCCGCGGGAAAGGGCUGCACUGCGGGAGGCGCUCGCUCAAUGAGCGGCUGAGGGGCAGGAGAGGGCUAGCGGCUUUGCGGGCCGGCCGGCGUUGCUGACAGGGGAUCUCCCGGAGCCCCGGCCGGCGGGGCGGGGCGGUGGCGAGGGGAGGAGGCGGAUCCCCCGCCUUGGCUUCCCCGCGGCCGCCCCGGCUGGCGGCCCCUCGCGGCGGGCGGCAGGGCAUGUCCGCGGCGCAGGUGUCGGCGGCGCCCGCCGAGCGGCGAGGCUGGGGCGCUGAGGGCAACGAUGCGGCACUAGGCCGGACCCGGGGGACGGAGGAGCCUCAGCAGACGGAGCCCGGUUCGCCCCGUGGGCAGGAGGCCGCGGAGGAAGGCGGCCGGUGGCAGCUGGCGGUGGAAGCCCCGCCGCCCAAGGAGAACCCGUGGAAGAGGCGCAGACCCACACAAGACAGCCCUUCCCCGCCCGCGGCGGACGGGCAGCUUGAACCGCAGGACCCAGAACUACAAAAUUCCACUAAUGUUAUAAAAGCAGCCAAACCCAGGACAAGGAAAUGCAGCAAGGGUGAUGAUUUUGGUGAUAUCACAAACUGGCCAACACCAAGCGAAAUAGCAAACAAUGAAUGUAAGAGUAUAAGUCACAAUAAGAAGACAAUAAACAGAAGAGAAAGGGAGGAGAAAACUGAUCAAAAAAGCAAUAAUGGAAUCAAGGAUAACCUAGAGGCAAAGCCAGAUGGUCCAGGAGAAAAUAUCAGUGAAGAUGAAGCUCAAACUAAUAACCAAAGGAGAAAAGGUAACAAGCAGAAAUGGGUGCCACUUCACUUGAAUGAUGUAAGGUCAGACAGUCAAGAAAGACCAAGCUCUCGAACUAGUUCAAGAUUUUUGCUGGAAACAAACAAGUUAAUACCUCAUAACAACAGACGGAAUGAGACAAGAAAUUGGCGUCGUGAUAGAGAAAAGAGAGAUGAUCAGGAUGAAGUGUGCAGCGUGAGAAGCGAGAGUGGCAGCGUUCGAGGAUUUUCCAGAGGGAGAGGAAGAAGUAGAGGCAGAGGAAGAGGACGAGGCAGAGGAAACCCUAGAAUUAACUUUGAAUAUUCCGUUGGUUAUCAAGAGCUGUACAGUGAAGGAAUUGACCCAAUGUUUCACCCUGAGCUUAAUGCUAGCGUGAUGUAUUACUAUAGUGAUGGAACAGGAGUGCAGAUGUAUUCUGUGGAUGAAGCACUUCUCAAAGAAUAUAUAAAACAUCAAAUUGAGUAUUAUUUCAGCACAGAAAAUUUGGAAAGAGACUUCUUUCUGAGGAGAAAGAUGGACCAACAAGGAUUUCUGCCUGUUUCAUUGAUUGCUAGCUUCCGUCGGAUGCAAGCUCUGACUACAAAUGCUGCGCUCAUCUUGGAGGCCCUAAAGGACAGUACAGAAGUUGAAAUUGUGGAUCAGAGGAUAAGGAAAAGGGUUGAUCCAGAGAAGUGGCCAAUUCCAGGCCCUCCUCCAAGCAGUCUGCCACCGACUGACUUUUCUCAGCUCAUCAAUUGUCCGGAAUUCAUACCAGGCCAAACUUUUGGCUCACAUACUGAAUCUGCACCAAGUUCUCCAAGAAUGGGAAGCCCACUCAAUCCAAAGGAAAACCCUGAAACAAGUAAUUUUCAGACAAUGUCUAAAGGAUUGUCUACAAGUUUACCUGAUUUGGACUCUGAACCUUGGAUAGAAGUGAAGAAGAGGCAUCGCGCGUCCAUGGUCAAACUAAAGGAAAGUGUUCCUGUACCUGAUCAAACACCAGAUCGACAACAGCCACCUGUGCCUUCAGAGAAACAAGAACAAGAAGAACUUGAUUUUUUGCUUGAUGAAGAGAUGGAACAAAUGCAAGGUCGGAAGAAUAAAUUUACUGAUUGGUCAGACAGUGACUCCAGUUAUGAAAUGGACGAUCAGGACAUAAACAAGAUUUUGAUUGUAACACAGACACCACCGUAUAUGAGAAAACAUCCUGGUGGAGAUCGUACUGGCAACCACGUGUGCCGUGCAAAGAUUACAUCAGAACUUGCUAAAGUUAUUAACGAUGGCUUAUACUACUAUGAACAGGACUUGUGGAUGGACCAGAGUGAAAAUGACACUACGAUGAAGAUGAUAUCCAUUGCCGUGCUUCGUAUUUACAAUUUGCUUUCUCUAAUUCAGCAAGAGAUUGAGAACUUUAAGAAGCUAAAUCUCAUUAGUAAGGAAGAAUUUGAGAGUCUUGCACCAGAACCAACUGCUGACCCAACCCAAGAAGUUCCCCUAGUACCUCCAGUGUUACAGAAAGAUAUAGGAGAGGAGCUGGCUUUUAAUUUAAGUAUUGAAGCACCUCCAACCGCAGCAAUAGCUCGAUCGCUCCCAACAGCAGUUCCAGAUUCUCCCUGUGUUCACCCUGGCUUCACCCCGCGAACACCUCGCACCCCAAGGCUUCAGGAUCCCAACAAAACUCCCAGGUUCUACCCUGUUGUUAAAGAGGCACGAUCCAUUGAUGUAAAGACUCCCAGAAAAAGAAAAACACGACACAGUACAAAUCCUCCUUUAGAAUGCCACGUUGGUUGGGUGAUGGAUUCCAGGGAUCACAGGCCAAGAACUUCUUCUCUGAGCAGUUCCAAUGCUUCACCUUCAGAAGGAGCUCCACUAGCAGGAAGUUAUGGGUGUACCCCAAAUUCUCUUCCAAAAUUUCAGCAUCCUUCUCAUGAACUGUUAAAGGAAAAUGGCUUUACUCAACACGUGUACCACAAGUAUCGUCGAAGGUGUCUAACAGAGAGGAAACGGUUGGGAAUUGGCCAGUCCCAAGAGAUGAACACACUUUUUCGUUUCUGGUCCUUUUUUCUGAGAGAUCACUUUAACAGAAAAAUGUACGAAGAAUUCAAACAACUUGCUGUAGAUGAUGCAAAAGAACACUACAGAUAUGGAUUGGAAUGCUUGUUUAGAUUUUACAGCUAUGGCCUAGAGAAGAAAUUCAGGCAAGAAGUAUUCAAGGAUUUCCAAGAAGAAACCAAGAGAGACUACGAAGCUGGUCAGCUCUACGGACUGGAAAAAUUUUGGGCUUAUCUAAAGUACUCCCAGCACAAGACCCCAGCCAUUGACCCCAAACUGCAAGAAUACCUUAAUAAAUUUAAGAGACUGGAGGACUUCAGAGUGGAUCCUCCUAUUAGUGAAGAAUCUGGCAGAAAGAGACCAGUUGCUGCAACAGGUGAGGAUUCAGGUCCUCGCAGACAGCAGUCUACUACUUCUAAAACACUUCUUGCCACCAAACCCACAGCCACCUACCAGUCCCAGGCCCUGGGUUGCAUCACCAGUGGGAAUCCCUUGGCAGCAUCCACCAGCCCUGUCACCGCCGGCACAAAAUCCGCAGAAAGUGAUGUACCAGAAAAAUAAACUUCAGACAAGCUUGUGCCCUCGAGAAUCAAAUUCUAUGUCACACUUUCAAUUUGGAGAUCUUCAAGGCGAGCCAAUCUAAUACAUCAUUGAAAACAUAUGGGAUGAUAAAAGACUAGAUUUUGGUUUUGUCCACAGGAUUUAGUUCCGAAACACCCUAGGAGAGUUGCUCUUGGUUUUGGGAUCAUCAGAAGGCUCCUAGGGAAGAUUCUUUGGCUUCAGUAUUGCUUUCCUCAAGCUUUUGUUUACAAAGAACUGCAUUCCUUGCAUAUGCAAAAACCCACAAACUUUGGGGGAUGCCUUACAUUUCAGCUCGUAUUUCUUAAAAAAAGUGUGAAGAAAAGCAACUUGAAAUAGUGUGAAGGCUGUAGAUUUGCAUGUGAGUUCCUGUUGCUGCUGAUGCACCAAGGCCCAGAAGAACAGUUGGAGGACAGCACUGCCAGCCUAUACUUCAGUCUGCAACAGUCAACCAGGGGAGACCCCAGACUGCAGGAAGGCCCCAGGACUUCCUUACAAACAUGCUCUGAGAGCCAUUAAUGAAUUUCAGCAACACUUCACUAUGCAGUUGCUGAAUUAGUUGUGCUUCCUGAAAAACUACACAGCUUGGUCCUAAAUAAUGAAAACAAACCCCAAAGCAGAUCCAGGAAGACUAUUAUAUUCAAAGUACUAGGUCUUGAUCAAGAUUUUGUGCUAUUUUACUCAACAAUGCCUGUGUUUCCUGGAGGAAAUAAAACCUCACAGCCCUUGACUGCAGAGAAAACAGUUACCAAAGAGACUCAAACAAAGCAUGAGUAAGGCUUAAUUAUCCUUGACCUCCACAGUGAAGAUAGUAAAAUCAAACUGAUUUUGUAGGAAGAAAAACAAAUACCUCAAACUUUAGAAAAUAGCUUAGAUAUCUCCAGUGAAAUAAGAUCAGAAGCAGAGUGCCACACGACUUCUCCAUGCUGUGCCUGAGACUGAAGGAUAGAAAAUGUAAACAUGAGCAAAGUAGCUCUGUCUCAAUGAAAAGAUAUAGAAGCACGUGAAAGGAUUAUUCUGUAGUCUUUAGGAGUAAGGGCCAGAUGUUCAAAUAAUGUGGUACUUUUCUAAAAAAGAAUCAAGAAGGUUUAAAAAUAAUUUUCCUGCCACAAUAAAGCAUUUUUGGUAAAUGGUGUACAAAUGAGGCAGAAAUGGCAAAACAAAUGACUGCUGCAACUAGUUUAACACUGAGCCUAGUCUAGGAAAACAAAUCUCAUUUUGUUGCUGAAGAUAAGAAAUACUCACUACACGUCCCUCAUGUUGCUUAAACAAAAUUUAAUCUAUUGUCAGUAUCAAACUGCCUGUCAUUUUAGAUGAUAGUGGAUUUUGACCAAGGGCUUGACACAGAUGUUACAGGUUGAAUGUUUACAUAACAUUAUUACAUGAAUUGCACUGAAGUUUUGAUGGAGCUGACGUUCCUCUAGAAUAUUCUUGUACGUGUCAACUUUGUAUAAAAAUGAGGACUGCAAUGUACUUUACAGCACUUAUCUUGUCAGUGUUAAAUCACCAGUGACUUUGUAGGUAGGAGAAAUGUGAUUUAGACCCACUAGACAUCAAAAUACAGGAUUAAUACCUUGCUGCCACAGCAUGGAAGUUUUGUGUCCUUCACAGUUACCAAUUAGUAGCUCUAAAGCAAAACUUAUCCUUUACACAUCUUGCUGUUCAAUAGUAAAUCAUAAAAGUAGAAAUUUGAGCAUUGGCCUUUUAGAACAAUUUUUAAAAAACACAACCCCAACAGAACAAAACUUCACGUAACUUUGCUGUGAUGCUUCUUCACAGCAUUUCUUAGAGCAAGGGAAAGGACAAGGCUGCACUUGCACUAGGAGGUCACAGCAUAUACAAAUCUCCUUUUCUUUCUCCAGUAGGAAGUUUCUACAUAAACCAGAGAGCAGCAGAUAAACAGCUAAUGCUACAGCAAUACCAACAACCGCGGUGAGCACAGGGCAGAGUAACUCACAGCAAGCGUUAGGGACCUCUGGCCAUGACUUUGUGCAAUAGAAGGAAGCUGUAACACACAUGACAUGCAUUUUCAUGUGGCUGCCUGGGGAAAAACGACUGAUUGGGUUGUCCUAUGUAAUAGGUGGGUAAGGCUGCUUCUCGUGCUCUACAGCCAUGCAGAGCUCAGGGUCACGAUGAGAUGCAGCAGCUGGCACAAAAGCUGCAAGGGAAAGGCAUACUGUAAAUGAAGUGUACUGUAGAAUCGUCUGUAGUGAGAUUUAGAGAAAAACACUCCCUAGUGAAGCAUACACCUAAAGAACCAGUGCUUUAGUCCUAGCUCCUAGUCCAUGUGAGGAAGCUUUUCUUUGUCCCACUGCUCCAUCUACACCACACAGGUUGUUGUGGUUCAUUACCCUGGCACGCCCAGCUUUGCAGCCGUGUUAAGUGGUCAGCAGACAUAAGAGUGUGAAGGUGCAAAGGGAAGUCUGGCUGCGCCUCCAACGCUCGGCUGACAAGGACAGCGCCUACGUGGGAAGCGGCACUGUCCUGGACUCCAGGCAGCAGCCGGGCAGCCCUGUGCCCCAUGGGAUGGCUCAGCCAGUACACCAACCCACCAGCAGAGCCCAACUUCAGCUGAGCAGUGGCUCCUGUACUGGGAUUUCUUCCGUGAUAGAACUAUGCUAUUCCAAGCUUGGAGAUGCAAGAAUUCAAUCUGCUUUCUAGGACACGUAAGUUACACAUGAUUCAACAGAGGAUAUUUGUUUAUUUGUUCCAUUUACAUCGAUAUAAAUCUUUAAAAUAGUAAUAAAAAAGUAGUCAUCCCUGGAAUUUCACAAUUUACAGUUCAACAGAAGGUAUAUAUAGAAAUCUGUUACUGUAGACUUAUCACAGGUGAAGUCUGCAAAGGGAAGUACAGAGGUAAGCCAUAAAGCUGCAGGUCAUGAACUUAAUAGUGUUAUCCUUAGGAAUUUAGCAGAACAGACGGUGACGUUUCUGCAACACGUUGAGUGAUACCCACGUAUAGUUCUCCAGCCUUCUUGUCCUGUUAGCGCCAUGAGACAUUGUCCUAUUACUGCACGUUAUGCCAUUUCCUACCGUGCUUCUUCUCUGAAAUACAGCUUACCUGAGCGAGUCUUGAAGAGUCUUCAAAAGCUGUGAUUUGAAAAAAAAUACCACAAGGACAAGGAACAGAAUGAAUAGUGGUGGAUGUUUCAUAUCCAAGACUUCUUCCCCUUACUUGGUAUUGUGUCAUUUUCCAGCUUUGCUCAACAGCUUCUACAUAAAGUCUGACAGCACAUUUGGUAUUGUACAUGCUUUAUUAAAAUGGUACUCGUAUUUACAAUAUCUGCAGAAACAAUCCCUCCUGAGUCUUGCACUCAGACAGACACGCACACAUACGCACGCGCGCAGGCCCCUUCACUCUACCAGGGUGUGAAGGCUAUGCUCCCAAAAGUUAGGCAGCUUCUGG